This 202-nucleotide ribosomal RNA is filed under the name uncultured bacterium. Its description in RNAcentral is "partial 16S ribosomal RNA". It matches the Rfam family "Bacterial small subunit ribosomal RNA", at positions 328 to 539 of the family's 1533-position model. The record is from RNAcentral.
ACGCUCGACACCUACGGGAGGCAGCAGUUAGGAAUAUUGGGCAAUGGAGGAAACUCUGACCCAGCAACGCCGCGUGAAGGAAGAAGGUUUUCGGAUUGUAAACUUCUGAUCUAGGGGAAGAAGGAAGUGACGGUACCCUAGGAGAAAGCCACGGCUAACUACGUGCAAGCAGCCGCGGUAAUCUGAGGCGGGCUGGCAAGGC